This 36-nucleotide small RNA is filed under the name Cyclobacterium marinum DSM 745. Its description in RNAcentral is "abiF RNA". It matches the Rfam family "abiF RNA". The record is from Rfam by way of RNAcentral. Lineage: Bacteria; Pseudomonadati; Bacteroidota; Cytophagia; Cytophagales; Cyclobacteriaceae.
CCUCCCAUGCCUCUCAUUGAUGCACACUUGGGAGGU